RNAcentral lists this transfer RNA (58 nucleotides) under Paroedura picta. RNAcentral describes it as "tRNA-Cys". The record is from RNAcentral. Lineage: Eukaryota; Metazoa; Chordata; Lepidosauria; Squamata; Gekkonidae.
AGUCCCGAGCAGCGAAGUGCAAAUCCGCAAACGUACCCCAAAAAGGGUGCCGGGGCUU